ACUCCUACGGGAGGCAGCAGUGGGGAAUAUUGGACAAUGGGCGAAAGCCUGAUCCAGCCAUGCCGCGUGUGUGAAGAAGGUCUUCGGAUUGUAAAGCACUUUAAGUUGGGAGGAAGGGCAGUAAGUUAAUACCUUGCUGUUUUGACGUUACCGACAGAAUAAGCACCGGCUAACUCUGUGCCAGCAGCCGCGGUAAU
RNAcentral lists this ribosomal RNA (197 nucleotides) under uncultured bacterium. RNAcentral's name for it is "partial 16S ribosomal RNA". It matches the Rfam family "Bacterial small subunit ribosomal RNA", at positions 335 to 524 of the family's 1533-position model. The record is from RNAcentral. RNAcentral also lists the same sequence under 1 other name.